AUUGAACGCUGGCGGCAUGCCUUACACAUGCAAGUCGAACGGUAACAGGUCUUCGGAUGCUGACGAGUGGCGAACGGGUGAGUAAUACAUCGGAACGUGCCCGAUCGUGGGGGAUAACGGAGCGAAAGCUUUGCUAAUACCGCAUACGAUCUACGGAUGAAAGCAGGGGACCGCAAGGCCUUGCGCGGACGGAGCGGCCGAUGGCAGAUUAGGUAGUUGGUGGGAUAAAAGCUUACCAAGCCGACGAUCUGUAGCUGGUCUGAGAGGACGACCAGCCACACUGGGACUGAGACACGGCCCAGACUCCUACGAGAGGCAGCAGUGGGGAAUUUUGGACAAUGGGCGAAAGCCUGAUCCAGCCAUGCCGCGUGCAGGAUGAAGGCCUUCGGGUUGUAAACUGCUUUUGUACGGAACGAAAAGACUCUUUCUAAUAAAGAGGGUCCAUGACGGUACCGGAAGAAUAAGCACCGGCUAACUACGUG
RNAcentral lists this ribosomal RNA (482 nucleotides) under uncultured bacterium. RNAcentral describes it as "partial 16S ribosomal RNA". It matches the Rfam family "Bacterial small subunit ribosomal RNA", at positions 30 to 507 of the family's 1533-position model. The record is from RNAcentral.